This 4447-nucleotide long non-coding RNA is filed under the name Gallus gallus (chicken). Lineage: Eukaryota; Metazoa; Chordata; Aves; Galliformes; Phasianidae. The record is from RNAcentral.
GGCCGAUGCGCGGGGCUCCGGGCUCCUCCUCCUCCUCCGCCGCCUCCGAGCGGGGAUGCUGCUGCCGGGCACGCACCGGGAGCCCCGCGGAGCGCUGCGGGCUGCGGCCACCCGAGGGAUCCUCACCUUUGGAGCAAGCAUCUCCCUUCCACGGAGCAGCGGCAUUUUGCUGAGGUUUCCUGCAUGCAGAAGGGACAAAUGCAUCCACUUCCAAUCCUGCAGAAGCAAAGAGAACGGUGUCAGAGGGAAAGUUGGAAGGCGGAUCUCAAUAUUUAAUUGCCUUUUAGCAAUACAUCAGCCAUAGCAGCAGCAAAAGGCAGAGCUGUAUCGCAGAAAUGCCCCUCUGAAAUGCAAGCGGCUGUGUUUGUUUUCUUAAACAAUUAAACGCCAUCUCCAUCAGCCACUUGUGGAUGAUCUUAUUUAAAGGUUAAUUGAAUAUUCCUUGCAACUUUGAUGUGCAUUUCUCUUUGGAGAGAACUGCUCCAUUUGGCAGCCAGGCAUUAAAGGGGUGGAAUGCGCAAUGGGCCAAUUCGGGAAAAAAAAAGAGGAGGAGGGAAAUAGGAAGCAAGAACUGAAUUUGCCUUUUCUUUUCCCUUCUGUGGCUGCUGCACCGAAGCAGUUGAGCAGAGCAGGGAUGGGAGAAUGUAAUGCUCUGGAAAGCAAAAGGAGCUGAAGGAGAGGGGCAGACAGCGGCAGCACAGCAGAUGCUCUGCACAGCAGGGACAGAGCCUGGCUGGGUGUCAGCACGCAGAAGUUGCCUUUUCUCAGCUCCCUUUUGGCUGAGCACUGCGCGGGGUACAAAAAUACCCGGAAUGAGAGAAAUCACAGCACAACUGGUGCUGCAGACAGGGAAGGAUGGUGCGGAAGGAGUGCGUGGCUUUGCUCUGGAGCUUGGGUGCCAGGAAGCCAACGUGGGCUUAACACAGACAGCCUUGGUUUGGUGGCAGACAUGAAGUCCUACCUGAGAGAAAUUCUUUCCCUGAUCCUCAGCCUUCUUGCUAAGCUCAGGGGUUGAGAAUGCUCAGCUAUCCAGGCCAGUUAUUUCCUCUCCCAGCACUUAGCAGAGCACCCAGAGGACACGGAUUUGCUUUUAUAGCCCCAGAAAAGCCCGUGGAAGAGGAAGGGGCAGCAGCAUGGAGGCAAUGAGGGCUCCCGGCUGCUCCUCUGCCUGCUGGGGGGGUAGGCAAGAAGAUCACUGCAGAUGGAGACUGGUCUCCAUGGCAGCCCGCAGCUCCAGUUCUAAAUUUUUCUCUGUCCAUGGAGAGGAUGCUUCUCCUCCGUGUGCUCUGGGGGGGCUGCAGCAGAAAGAGCCUCAGUUUGGGGUUUUUUUUUUUGGCAGUUUAAGGGAAUGGGAGAAACCCUUGGUGCUCCCACCUUGGCAGAAGCCAAAGGGCAAACGGACACCCCAUCACUCGUUCGUGCUGUGCCCACGACUGGGGAGCAGAGGAAGAUGCAUGCAAAGCCCAUGGAACGGAAAGCCAGGAGGAGCCGUAUUUAGGGCACAUCUCCGGUUACGUGAAGCUUUUGCUAUUUCUGGCUGCAUCCUUUGCAUCAAUGAGAUCCUGGAAAAAGCUCACGGAAGACGUGUGGGACAGACACUCUCCGCUGAGCUGUGGGGAUGGAGGGACAGCAUUCUGCACAUCCCAACCACACUCAGGGGCACCUGCCAGGCGAGGCAGCCCCUUGCCAGCCCCCUUUUUUGGGUGCCCACCCUCCCCCCCCUUCCAUCCUCACACCCUGACAGAUUGUGUUUUACAGGGUCGGAAAUAGAUGCGCGAGAAGGGGCCUCGCAGAUCCCAAGUGAAAGCCAUGCUCAGCUGUCACCCACCCCAGCACCAGCUGCUGGCCCCAGACGGUUCCCAAAAUAAGCAGCCCACAGCUCCUGGGCAUGGCGCGGCCGCUUCCCACCUGCCAACCCCGCAGGGCUCUCUCAAAUCCCAUCCUGGGGGUACAAAAUCCCCACCCCAGAGCUCAAUAGAGGAAUCCUGGGUGCCACCAGACCUGAGCAUUUCUGCGUUUCCAAUUAGCAGGGCGUUAAUUGCAGAGUUCGUUGCUUGUUAGCAGGAAAAGCCAGAUGCUCUUAGAAGCGAAGCGAGCUGAAAGGAUCUUUCUCCCCACCCAAGGAAUAUUUAAGUAUGUCUCAUACAAACAUUUCCUUUGUGUUGGGAACAUGACUGUGGGGACAUGUGGGUGCUGCUUAGCUGCUGAUUCACCAACAAGUGCCAGGGUCCAUCCACCAUGGGAGCGGGGCAAAGCUGGAGCAGCUCAGGGUGCUCCUGUGAGGCACAGGUGGGGCUCUUUGUGCACGGCCAGGUGAAGGCUGGGAGAUGGUCCUCCACCAUAAGCUCACAUAGCAAUACUAUAGGGCAGUGUAUCCCUGAGCUGGGGGGACUCAGUGCAGUGUGUUGUAGGGCAGUCCCUUUGGGAACCAUCUCCUUUGGGCACUGUCUCCUUUGGGCACCAUUUUGCUUGGGAACCAGCCCCUUGGGCUCCGUCUCCUUUGGGCACCAACAUCCUUGGGUACCAGAAACCACAGCUUGUCCUGAGUGUAACUGCCUGCUGCAGCCAUCCAGCACCAAGUGCUCGUGGUUUGUCUUGCUCUUAAGUCCCUCUUGGGCUAGAGAGGCAGAAAGCAUGAUCUGUCACUUCUGUAGCCCACAUACCUGCUUGUGCUAUUAGCGUAGGCGAACUGUCCAGUAAGCAUUAGCUGCAGAGAAAGCACAAGGCUCUGCAGGAAUGCAGACACUUGAAGUCUGGGCUUUGCUGACUUGCGCCGAAUUUCUGCAGGUUGUGCAAUCAGUCCCCAGCAGUGCAGGAGCCUCUCCCUGCCUCCAGCAGGGUUUCUGCACAGGGAAACGCAGCGGCUUCCCCACAGAGGGAUCAGACAGAGUGAGAGGAGGCAUUGCGCAGCGGGUGUUGAGUCAAUAUCCUUUCCAGCUCGCUCUGCCAAUAUGAUUCAUUGUUAAUUCAAGAAAUUCCUCUUACCCUACUACUGGGUUCCCUAAUCGUGGCUUAAUCCAGGCGCCUCAAUGCCACCUACACCAUCACACCAACGCCCAUUAAGGCCACUUGUGGGCUCACCUCGGGUCAGGAUCAGGCUGCACGCUACACGGGUGCCUGCAGCUCCUUCUGCUCUUUGCAGUGCUGAUGCUGAAUUCUGCAGGAAUAAAGAGCACCUGAGACAUUCUGCAGGACCUGCAGGGAAGCAGCACUUGGCGCUGCCAACGAAGCAGGUCUGGGUUUCUUUGUAGUUGCUCAGUGCAACUAAACUUCACCUCCAGGAGCCCAGCUGCCAGGGGACACUGGCACAGCACAGGCUACGGCUGCUGCUCUGGCGUUGAGCCCACCAAACCCUCUGCCAAAGGCACUGCUGGCUCCUCUAACAAGCACCAGCCAGGGGGUGUGAAUUCUCCCAGUGUUCAUUGAAAUAACAUUAAGUGUGAUGGACUCCUGGGCUAUUAGAGUGGAUGUAACAUGUAAUUGAGGCUGGUUAUUCUUCAUCUGGAGUGUCCCCCUUCACUAAUGGCAGAUCAGGGCAGAACACAUGGUGUGUGCUUUGUGAGCCCCGCUGCAAUUCACUCGCUGCCUCCGAUCAAAAUGAUCCCAAUGAAUGUCAAUGAAUGAGUGGGGGGACAAUGAAUUAGAGUGAAUGAAAGCCUUGUCAUGGGGCCCUUUGCCAGCACCGAGCCACAAUGCAGCACCACAAGGACAGCGCCUGCCUGGGUGGUGUUGAGUUCAUUCCCAUUAGUGCGAUGAGGAUCACGGGGUGGGGGCAAGGUCGGUGCUGCUGAUGGGGCUCUCCAGGCCUUAUAGCUGCCAUUUAUAUGGGGACCGAAGUGAGGGGGGUUGGAGGAGCUGGGCACAGAGAGUUGGGUUGGGCAUAGGCACGGGUGUGCUCGGCCCAUGGAUGCUCACACAUGGACUGCCCAUAUCCUCUGUCCGGUGUUUGCUAGCACUGAGGAUGUGGGAUCACCACUUAGCCUGAAAUCCAAACCAUUCAAUCCCAGUUUUGAUUCCAGAUCUCAAUCCCAGCCCAGUGAGAUUGCUGCUCUCCAAAUUUUGGAUUGAGCCGCCUCUUCAUUAAGUUGUUAAUCAGAUGCUGCAGGCAGCACGUGCAGUGCUUUUCACCAUGGAAAUGCCCACGUUUCCCCCUGGGGCCACGUUCUUAGUGUCUCAAAGACCCAGACCAUUGGGCAAAACACGGGCACAUCACCUGGCAGCAAUCGAGGGGAGGAGGAAGGAUGCUGCUCCCAGAUCCCGGCUCUUGGCAGCUGCUGCUGCUGCUGCUCCUGCGCUAUCCGUGCACCUCCCAACAAACACCCAAAUGUGUAGGCGCAUCUGCACAGAAAUGAUGAAUAAUAAUGUGAGAGGGAAAAAGAGUGGGCGAGAGGGUGCAGGGGAGAAGGAAGAGCUCAGAUACCGGAGGGGAAGAACAGGAUCAGCAGGG